GAGUUUGAUCGUGGCUCAGGACGAACGCUGGCGGCGUGCUUAACACAUGCAAGUCGUACGAGAAAGUUUCCUUCGGGAGAUGAGUAAAGUGGCGCACGGGUGAGUAACGCGUAAGUAAUCUGCCCUUUGGUCUGGCAUAACUCCGGGAAACCGGGCGUAAUAGCAGAUGAUAUCGUAAGAUCAAAGCCUUCGGGUGCCAAGGGAUGAGCUUGCGUCCCAUUAGCUAGUUGGCGGGGUAACAGCCCACCAAGGCGACGAUGGGUAGCUGGUCUGAGAGGGCGGACGGCCACACUGGGACGUGAGACACGGCCCAGACUCCUACGGGAGGCGAGCAGUGGGGAAGUUGUUCGCAAUGGGCGGCAAGCCUGGCGCAGCGACGCCGCGUGUGGGAUGACGGCC
This 399-nucleotide ribosomal RNA is filed under the name uncultured delta proteobacterium. RNAcentral describes it as "bacterial SSU rRNA". It matches the Rfam family "Bacterial small subunit ribosomal RNA", at positions 9 to 416 of the family's 1533-position model. The record is from RNAcentral. Lineage: Bacteria; Deltaproteobacteria.